GAUGAACGCUGGCGGCGUGCCUAAUACAUGCAAGUCGAACGCUUCACUUCGGUGAAGAGUGGCGAACGGGUGAGUAAUACAUAAGUAACCUGGCAUCUACAGGGGGAUAACUGAUGGAAACGUCAGCUAAGACCGCAUAGGUGUAGAGAUCGCAUGAACUCUAUAUGAAAAGUGCUACGGGACUGGUAGAUGAUGGACUUAUGGCGCAUUAGCUUGUUGGUAGGGUAACGGCCUACCAAGGCGACGAUGCGUAGCCGACCUGAGAGGGUGACCGGCCACACUGGGACUGAGACACGGCCCAGACUCCUACGGGAGGCAGCAGUAGGGAAUUUUCGGCAAUGGGGGAAACCCUGACCGAGCAACGCCGCGUGAAGGAAGAAGUAAUUCGUUAUGUAAACUUCUGUCAUAGAGGAAGAACGGUGGAUAUAGGGAAUGAUAUCCAAGUGACGGUACUCUACAAGAAAG
Molecule: ribosomal RNA, 465 nt
Filed under: uncultured bacterium
Lineage: Bacteria
Description: bacterial SSU rRNA
Rfam family: Bacterial small subunit ribosomal RNA
Source: RNAcentral